Molecule: ribosomal RNA, 424 nt
Filed under: uncultured prokaryote
Description: bacterial SSU rRNA
Rfam family: Bacterial small subunit ribosomal RNA
Source: RNAcentral
UGGGGAAUCUUGGACAAUGGGGGCAACCCUGAUCCAGCCAUGCCGCGUGAGCGAAGAAGGCCUUAGGGUUGUAAAGCUCUUUCGCCAGGGAUGAUAAUGACAGUACCUGGUAAAGAAGCCCCGGCUAACUUCGUGCCAGCAGCCCCGGUAAUACGAAGGGGGCUAGCGUUGUUCGGAAUUACUGGGCGUAAAGCGCGCGUAGGCGGACUUUUAAGCCAGAUGUGAAAUCCCGGGGCUCAACCCCGGAACUGCAUUUGGAACUGGAAGUCUAGAGACCAGGAGAGGUGAGCGGAAUACCGAGUGUAGAGGUGAAAUUCGUAGAUAUUCGGUGGAACACCAGUGGCGAAGGCGGCUCACUGGACUGGUACUGACGCUGAGGUGCGAAAGCGUGGGGAGCAAACAGGAUUAGAUACCCGUGUAGUCC